GGGAAGUUGGCUCAGUGGCAGAGCACUUGCCUUGCACGCAUGAGGCCCUGGGUUCAAUUCCUCAGUACCA
RNAcentral lists this transfer RNA (70 nucleotides) under Dipodomys ordii (Ord's kangaroo rat). It matches the Rfam family "tRNA". Rfam says of the family: Transfer RNA (tRNA) molecules are approximately 80 nucleotides in length. Their secondary structure includes four short double-helical elements and three loops (D, anti-codon, and T loops). Further hydrogen bonds mediate the characteristic L-shaped molecular structure. tRNAs have two regions of fundamental functional importance: the anti-codon, which is responsible for specific mRNA codon recognition, and the 3' end, to which the tRNAs corresponding amino acid is attached (by aminoacyl-tRNA synthetases). tRNAs cope with the degeneracy of the genetic code in two manners: having more than one tRNA (with a specific anti-codon) for a particular amino acid; and 'wobble' base-pairing, i.e. permitting non-standard base-pairing at the 3rd anti-codon position. Lineage: Eukaryota; Metazoa; Chordata; Mammalia; Rodentia; Heteromyidae. The record is from Rfam by way of RNAcentral.